GCGGACCUUAUAGAGAACAUUUGACAGUGUCGUUUCCCGUGUAAAACAAUGACUUGCAAAAUGGAAGCAGCGAAGAAAAGAAAGAUGAAUUGGUCGGCGAAUGAGAUUAACGCGUUAGUAGACGGUUUCGUUGAGUAUCAAGAGGUGUUAAAAGGAAAGUUGUCGAAUCAAUUGACAAGUAAAGUAAAGCUCGAGCUUUACGAAAACCUUACACUUACAGAAAGUAUCAACAGCCAGUCCCUCACGCAAAGGUCAGUGGAGGAAGUAAAGCUGUCUGACAUCAAAACAGAUGUAAGACAGCAAGAAAGAAAAAGAUUAAGAGAAGCUCUGGCUACAGGGGGAGGUCCAGCCAUCGCUGAUCUAAAAGAUUGACAGGAAAAGCUACUGAGUGCACUUCCCAAGGUCUCCAUAGAAGGUUUUCCAGGAAUUGAUAACUUCAAAGUUCAUACGACCUUUAAUGCAGAAGACAAAGAAGUUUCUGAAGGUAUUUGCAAAUACUUUAAGGUUUAUCUCCCACUAUAUAUUUCCUUUCUUCAACCUCCUUAAUAU
Molecule: long non-coding RNA, 549 nt
Organism: Dreissena polymorpha
Lineage: Eukaryota; Metazoa; Mollusca; Bivalvia; Myida; Dreissenidae
Exons: 4
Source: RefSeq, a predicted model, not a curated record